This 75-nucleotide transfer RNA is filed under the name SAR202 cluster bacterium AC-409-J13_OGT_754m. RNAcentral describes it as "tRNA-Gly". It matches the Rfam family "tRNA". From Rfam's summary of the family: Transfer RNA (tRNA) molecules are approximately 80 nucleotides in length. Their secondary structure includes four short double-helical elements and three loops (D, anti-codon, and T loops). Lineage: Bacteria; Bacillati; Chloroflexota; Dehalococcoidia. The record is from RNAcentral.
GCGGGUGUAACUCAGUGGUAGAGUGUUUGCUUCCCAAGCAAAAAGUCGGGGGUUCGAAUCCCCUCUCCCGCUCCA